Molecule: long non-coding RNA, 1512 nt
Filed under: Oryctolagus cuniculus (rabbit)
Lineage: Eukaryota; Metazoa; Chordata; Mammalia; Lagomorpha; Leporidae
Description: lncRNA (ENSOCUG00000039564.1)
Source: RNAcentral
GUUAUUUUAAACAGGAAAAUGCUUUGGGAAUGUGAAUGUCUUAUGUGUCCAGAGAGUAAGUUUUCUUUAUUAAUUAUUUUUUAAGGGAUACAAAUUUCAUAUGUACAACUUUAGGAAUGUGGUUAUCAGAAAGUAAAUUUUUAUGCCCUGCUGUUUCCAACAGGAGAGUAUUGCUUCCUCAUCCUUUGUGUUUGCAGUCUGUGGACAGCACCCACCUUUCUCUGAAGGACUGUAGCCUGACCUACUGUAGUGGAGAAGGACCAUCAAUACACACAGCGUUUACUGUCGACCGAAGAGCGACACACAAGUUUGCCCACAAUUGCGAGCUGUGAUCCAGGUGGUAUGGAGUGCUAAAUCCGGUGAGUCUUUGCUCACUAGUACUGGCAAAGCCUGUACUAGUGUAAGACACUUGUACCCUGGCUAACCGCUGCUCAUCCUGGGAUGCGCACGUUUGAGAAUGAAAUUAAUUCCUGCUUUUAGUUAGCUGUGUGAAACAGAAUAUUUAACCUCUGCUUCAUUUGAUUUUUAAUUAAAAUGAGAAAUAUCUUUCUCUUAUGUGAUUAUUCUGAUUAUUCAGAAUAACUUUGUUAGUGAGCUAACAAAGGCUGACCUGUGCAACAGAUGAGCUAAAGGUUUUCUAAACAAAAUGGUAAGAAACAGGACAAAGAGAACAAAGUUAACAUAUGUGGAUUUGUUUAUCCAUUUGUUUAACCAUCAUCUUGUAAGUUUCAGGAAGUAAAUCAUGUAGAAGGGAAUUUUGUCUAUUUAACUGAGACUAAGAUGGACACAUAUUUAAUUCGCUUGAUGAAAUAAUGCUCUAAUUGUAGUUCAGCGUCAGAAACUUUUUUUUUUCACGCAUCCAGCACUACCUCACUUCACACAGCUGAUUGUAUUCCUUGUUCUUUCCAAAUCUACCCUCUUGCCCACUCCACAAAUACUCUUUCUGAAUCACUCAUGCUACAAGUGUUCAGUAGAAAUUCAGAGAACUCUUCAAGUACUUCUACAUCUUCAUUUAGAACCGAUUUUAUCAAACAGUUGUGAAAUAGUCAUCCAAUCACUAGUACUUUUUCAUGAAGUGUUUAUAAAAUCUCUCUAUCCCAGUCUUAGCAAUUCCACUGUGUGCGCUCUGCCAACACUGCUUAGUUGAAAAAAUGUACCGCAUUUCCCCUUCCUUCCAGUCCAGGCUUGUUAUGGGUAAACUCUUCAGACUUCUAUAUGCCUGGUGUCUACAACCACGUUUCAUAUCUCUUUCCCUCUAUUUGCAAGACAGAAUUCUGAGUGUUUAUAGCAUUUCUGUGCAUAAUAUUUCUAUCACAUAAAUAGUUCUGACUGCCUAUAAAUAUAUUAGAAUUUCUCCAUUCCCUGAUCUUCUCCCUCCCCACCUCUCUCUACACACACACACACACACACACACACACAUAUAUCAAUUGAUAUGCUUAUAUGUGCAUAUGCAUGCAGAUGUAUAGGUUUGUAUAUACAAAAUUCAAUAUAGAAAAUGGAAAUAAAGAAACA